This 579-nucleotide ribosomal RNA is filed under the name uncultured Bacteroidota bacterium. Its description in RNAcentral is "bacterial SSU rRNA". It matches the Rfam family "Bacterial small subunit ribosomal RNA", at positions 338 to 916 of the family's 1533-position model. Lineage: Bacteria; Pseudomonadati; Bacteroidota. The record is from RNAcentral.
CCUACGGGAGGCAGCAGCGAGGAAUAUUGGACAAUGGGCGAGAGCCUGAUCCAGCCAUGCCGCGUGCAGGAAGACUGCCCUAUGGGUUGUAAACUGCUUUUAUACGGGAAGAAACACCCCCUCGUGAGGGGGCUUGACGGUACCGUAAGAAUAAGGAUCGGCUAACUCCGUGCCAGCAGCCGCGGUAAUACGGAGGAUCCGAGCGUUAUCCGGAAUCAUUGGGUUUAAAGGGUCCGUAGGUGGAUGGUUAAGGCAGAGGUGAAAUCCUGCAGCUCAACUGUAGAAUUGCCUUUGAUACUGGCCGUCUUGAGUCGUUGUGAAGUGGUUGGAAUAUGUAGUGUAGCGGUGAAAUGCAUAGAUAUUACAUAGAACACCGAUUGCGAAGGCAGAUCACUAACAACGUACUGACACUGAUGGACGAAAGCGUGGGGAGCGAACAGGAUUAGAUACCCUGGUAGUCCACGCCGUAAACGAUGGUCACUAGCUGUCCGGACUUUAAGUCUGGGUGGCUAAGCGAAAGUGAUAAGUGACCCACCUGGGGAGUACGUUCGCAAGAAUGAAACUCAAAUGAAUUGACGG